RNAcentral lists this ribosomal RNA (539 nucleotides) under uncultured bacterium. Its description in RNAcentral is "bacterial SSU rRNA". It matches the Rfam family "Bacterial small subunit ribosomal RNA", at positions 777 to 1320 of the family's 1533-position model. The record is from RNAcentral.
AAUAGAUACCCCGGUAGUCCACGCUGUAAACGAUGAAUACUAGGUGUCGGGGGUCGAACCUCGGUGCCGCACGCUAACGCAAUAAGUAUUCCACCUGGGGAGUACGAUCGCAAGAUUAAAACUCAAAGGAAUUGACGGGGGCCCGCACAAGUAGCGGAGCAUGUGGUUUAAUUCGAAGCAACGCGAAGAACCUUACCUAGGUUUGACAUCCCAAGAAUCCGGUGGAAACAUUGGAGUGCCCUUCGGGGGACUUGGAGACAGGUGGUGCAUGGUUGUCGUCAGCUCGUGUCGUGAGAUGUUGGGUUAAGUCCCGCAACGAGCGCAACCCUUGUUGUUAGUUGCUACCAUUAAGUUGAGCACUCUAGCAAGACUGCCCGGGUAACCGGGAGGAAGGUGGGGAUGACGUCAAAUCAUCAUGCCCCUUAUAUCUAGGGCUACACACGUGCUACAAUGGCUGGUACAAUUAGAAGCGAUACCGCGAGGUGGAGCAAAACUUAAAACCAGUCUCAGUUCGGAUUGUAGGCUGCAACUCGCCUACA